Molecule: small nuclear RNA, 108 nt
Organism: Rattus norvegicus (Norway rat)
Lineage: Eukaryota; Metazoa; Chordata; Mammalia; Rodentia; Muridae
Source: Ensembl
AUGCUCACUUUGGCAACACAUAUACUAAAACUUGGAAGGAUACAGAGAAGAUUAGCAUGGCCCCUGUGUAAGGAUGACACACAAAUUUGUGAAUCGUUCCUUAUUUUU